This 700-nucleotide ribosomal RNA is filed under the name uncultured bacterium. RNAcentral describes it as "bacterial SSU rRNA". It matches the Rfam family "Bacterial small subunit ribosomal RNA", at positions 94 to 792 of the family's 1533-position model. The record is from RNAcentral.
ACCGGCGCACGGGUGCGUAACGCGUAUGCAACCUACCUUUUACAGAGGGAUAGCCCAGAGAAAUUUGGAUUAAUACCUCAUAGUAUAUAUCUUUCGCAUGUUAGGUAUAUUAAAGUUCCAACGGUAAAAGAUGGGCAUGCGUCCUAUUAGCUAGAUGGUAAGGUAACGGCUUACCAUGGCAACGAUAGGUAGGGGUCCUGAGAGGGAGAUCCCCCACACUGGUACUGAGACACGGACCAGACUCCUACGGGAGGCAGCAGUGAGGAAUAUUGGACAAUGGGCGCAAGCCUGAUCCAGCCAUGCCGCGUGCAGGAAGAAGCAUCUAUGGUGUGUAAACUGCUUUUGUACGGGAAGAAACACUCCCUCGUGAGGGAGCUUGACGGUACCGUAAGAAUAAGGAUCGGCUAACUCCGUGCCAGCAGCCGCGGUAAUACGGAGGAUCCAAGCGUUAUCCGGAAUCAUUGGGUUUAAAGGGUCCGUAGGCGGUUUAUUAAGUCAGUGGUGAAAGCCUGCAGCUCAACUGUGGAACGGCCAUUGAUACUGAUAGACUUGAAUUACUGGGAAGUAACUAGAAUAUGUAGUGUAGCGGUGAAAUGCUUAGAUAUUACAUGGAAUACCAAUUGCGAAGGCAGGUUACUACCGGUGGAUUGACGCUGAUGGACGAAAGCGUGGGGAGCGAACAGGAUUAGAUACCCUGGUA